Pangasianodon hypophthalmus (striped catfish) is the source of this 236-nucleotide long non-coding RNA. RefSeq lists it as uncharacterized. The record is from RefSeq and is a predicted model, not a curated record. The transcript is spliced from 3 exons. NCBI's taxonomy places the organism in Eukaryota, Metazoa, Chordata, Actinopteri, Siluriformes, Pangasiidae.
GGGAACAGGAAGGCUGCGUAUCUCUUAAACCCCACCCCCGGAACCACGCUGCAGCCAUGAGCCCAGAGAGCAAAAGGGAAAGAAAAAUAGUACUGCAAAGAGGGAUAUGACGUGUAAAAGACCACUGAGAAGAUUUGACAUAUAUACAGACAGUGGAAAGGAAAAACUCAAUGAGACAACAUAAGGAAGAAACUUUGAGAGGAACCAGACUCAAACGGAAACCCAUCCUCUUCUGG